This 541-nucleotide ribosomal RNA is filed under the name uncultured bacterium. Its description in RNAcentral is "partial 16S ribosomal RNA". It matches the Rfam family "Bacterial small subunit ribosomal RNA", at positions 355 to 887 of the family's 1533-position model. The record is from RNAcentral.
UGGGGAAUAUUGCACAAUGGGCGCAAGCCUGAUGCAGCCAUGCCGCGUGUGUGAAGAAGGCCUUCGGGUUGUAAAGCACUUUCAGCNAGGAGGAAGGUGGUGAGCUUAAUACGCUCAUCAAUUGACGUUACUCGCAGAAGAAGCACCGGCUAACUCCGUGCCAGCAGCCGCGGUAAUACGGAGGGUGCAAGCGUUAAUCGGAAUUACUGGGCGUAAAGCGCACGCAGGCGGUUUGUUAAGUCAGAUGUGAAAUCCCCGGGGCUCAACCUGGGAACUGCAUUUGAAACUGGCAAGCUAGAGUCUCGUAGAGGGGGGUAGAAUUCCAGGUGUAGCGGUGAAAUGCGUAGAGAUCUGGAGGAAUACCGGUGGCGAAGGCGGCCCCCUGGACGAAGACUGACGCUCAGGUGCGAAAGCGUGGGGCAGCAAACAGGAUUAGAUACCCUGGUAGUCCACGCUGUAAACGAUGUCGAUUUGGAGGUUGUGCCCUUGAGGCGUGGCUUCCGGAGCUAACGNGUUAAUCGACCGCCUGGGGAGUACGGCC